RNAcentral lists this long non-coding RNA (1135 nucleotides) under Chinchilla lanigera (long-tailed chinchilla). RNAcentral describes it as "lncRNA (ENSCLAG00000023935.1)". Lineage: Eukaryota; Metazoa; Chordata; Mammalia; Rodentia; Chinchillidae. The record is from RNAcentral.
ACGUCCACUAGGCAUUAGUGUUUAUAAUUACAAAUUGUGGAAGUACAGCGAUAGCUUUUUACCAUUUCUCUUUUUAGCAGUGUUUGUCACAUCCCUGUUUAGACACCACUGGGAGAGUUUAUCGACUUCAAUGUAAAUAUGCCAACAGAAUGGAGCAGAUGCGCUGGAGUGACUUCUUCACAUUUCAAGGCUUUUUCGUGGAUUCCAUCUGGGAUGUGAUGGGGCCAAAGGAUGAACGUUUUAUUUAUACCAAGCUGGGUCUCGGUGAAGACUUGCCACUCCGUGCUGCCAUAAUGAGACGGCUGAAGAGACGACCCAGGAAGUCUGAGCACCCUGACUGCUGCUGGUCUGCCGGCCGCCGAUGCUGCUCACCUGACUGGGGAAAUUCCGUGGAUUACGGCCACGAACCCAAGCUCAAAAGACAUCCAAGCCACCCAAAGAUGUCCACGUAGAUUAAAAAACUGAAUUUUGAUUUUAUGUCAAAAUUAAAAUUUUACAGAUAUCACGAUGUCAGAUCCGUCUCAUGUGCCUGAAAUAGCUACUCAAGUAUGGUUCUAUUUUCAUUGGAUCACGGGAGUAAGACAUAGUAGAAAUUGCUAAUUUUACUCAGAUUCAUGGUAUUUACUGCUAUAAUAAAAAGAAAAGUUCCAUACUCAAAAUUGUACAGAAUCUGAGCACUUAGGCAUUUCUCUUCACAGAAAUAUAUAACAACAUUAAAAUAUUAGAUUGUCAAAACACAAGCCAAGUUUGAAUUUUUUUGAGAGCUGAUCACUUAAAAUGAUCUUGGUAAAUAAACCCACUUACGAUAUUUUCAACUUUAAACUUAUCUCAGAUAAUGUUAAAUUAUGGAUACCUUAUAAGUGAUAAAUCUUUUGCCUAUGUAUAAGUAUAGAUUUACUAUUCCUAUAUGAAAUACUUGUUUGAAACCAUAUUUUUAACACUUAGAGGGUAAAAUUGUAGAUGAUUAUAAAUAAAACCAAAAUGAUGACUGACUCAAUGAUAGCCAUGAUCUCCAGGAAAAACUGACAUUUAACUGUACUAUUCUAUGUAACCCAUAAGUAUUGGGUGCUCUACAUCUCAGUUUUAGAACAUUUUCCACUAAUAAUUUUCAUUCUUCCCAUGCUAAACUGUAAAU